This 250-nucleotide ribosomal RNA is filed under the name uncultured prokaryote. Its description in RNAcentral is "partial 16S ribosomal RNA". It matches the Rfam family "Bacterial small subunit ribosomal RNA", at positions 524 to 773 of the family's 1533-position model. The record is from RNAcentral.
UACGUAUGGAGCAAGCGUUAUCCGGAUUUACUGGGUGUAAAGGGAGCGCAGACGGUAUGGCAAGUCAGAUGUGAAAGCCCGGGGCUCAACCCCGGAACUGCAUUUGAAACUGUUAAACUGGAGUGCAGGAGAGGUAAGCGGAAUUCCUAGUGUAGCGGUGAAAUGCGUAGAUAUUAGGAGGAACACCGGUGGCGAAGGCGGCUUACUGGACUGUAACUGACGUUGAGGCUCGAAAGCGUGGGGAGCAAAC